GUUUUGUUAAACCCUCCGACACCCCUCUUCUUCAACCGAAGCUGCAGUGGCACCAUAUGUUGUCGAAGGUGCAACGCUCAAAUAGCCAUGUCCAAACGCCUCCAGAAAACCCCAUCAAGGCAUUCACUUAUUUUACGAAAGAGACUGUUGUUAUGCCUGUAAAGCCUAUGAAACGAGGACAUAUAGAGGAAAGGUGUUUGUAUCUUCUUGAAUUCAUGGCUUCACUGUGUAUUUUCACCAUAUGUGGUUCUUAUUCUUGUAGUGGUUCUCAGAUGUAAACUAGUUAGGCAAAUGAUGAUGAUCUAUUGAAAUGAAGAUUGCUAAAACUUGAAGAUCCA
Long non-coding RNA from Salvia hispanica, 338 nucleotides. RefSeq lists it as uncharacterized. The record is from RefSeq and is a predicted model, not a curated record. Lineage: Eukaryota; Viridiplantae; Streptophyta; Magnoliopsida; Lamiales; Lamiaceae.